RNAcentral lists this ribosomal RNA (385 nucleotides) under uncultured bacterium. Its description in RNAcentral is "bacterial SSU rRNA". It matches the Rfam family "Bacterial small subunit ribosomal RNA", at positions 29 to 406 of the family's 1533-position model. The record is from RNAcentral.
AUUGAACGCUGGCGGCAUGCCUUACACAUGCAAGUCGAGCGGCAGCGCGGGGGCAACCCUGGCGGCGAGCGGCGAACGGGUGAGUAAUACAUCGGAACGUGUCCAGUAGCGGGGGAUAACCUGUCGAAAGAUAGGCUAAUACCGCAUAUGAUCCACGGAUGAAAGCGGGGGACUCUCGGGCAACUGAGGGCCUCGCACUAUUGGAGCGGCCGAUGUCGGAUUAGCUAGUUGGCGGGGUAAAAGCCCACCAAGGCGACGAUCCGUAGCUGGUCUGAGAGGACGACCAGCCACACUGGAACUGAGACACGGUCCAGACUCCUACGGGAGGCAGCAGUGGGAAUUUUGGACAAUGGGCGCAAGCCUGAUCCAGCCAUGCCGCGUGAGU